This 497-nucleotide ribosomal RNA is filed under the name uncultured bacterium. RNAcentral describes it as "partial 16S ribosomal RNA". It matches the Rfam family "Bacterial small subunit ribosomal RNA", at positions 28 to 507 of the family's 1533-position model. The record is from RNAcentral.
GAUGAACGCUGGCGGCGUGCCUAAUACAUGCAAGUCGAGCGAACAGACGAGGAGCUUGCUCCUCUGACGUUAGCGGCGGACGGGUGAGUAACACGUGGAUAACCUACCUAUAAGACUGGGAUAACUUCGGGAAACCGGAGCUAAUACCGGAUAAUAUAUUGAACCGCAUGGUUCAAUAGUGAAAGACGGUUUUGCUGUCACUUAUAGAUGGAUCCGCGCCGCAUUAGCUAGUUGGUAAGGUAACGGCUUACCAAGGCAACGAUGCGUAGCCGACCUGAGAGGGUGAGCGGCCACACUGGAACUGAGACACGGUCCAGACUCCUACGGGAGGCAGCAGUAGGGAAUCUUCCGCAAUGGGCGAAAGCCUGACGGAGCAACGCCGCGUGAGUGAUGAAGGUCUUCGGAUCGUAAAACUCUGUUAUUAGGGAAGAACAAAUGUGUAAGUAACUAUGCACGUCUUGACGGUACCAAAUCAGAAAGCCACGGCUAACUACGUG